Molecule: ribosomal RNA, 498 nt
Filed under: uncultured bacterium
Lineage: Bacteria
Description: partial 16S ribosomal RNA
Rfam family: Bacterial small subunit ribosomal RNA
Source: RNAcentral
GACGAACGCUGGCGGCAUGCCUAACACAUGCAAGUCGAACGGAGAUUAUUUCGGUAAUCUUAGUGGCGAACGGGUGAGUAACGCGUGGGCAACCUGCCCUCUAGAUGGGGACAACAUCCCGAAAGGGGUGCUAAUACCGAAUGUGACAGCAAUCUCGCAUGAGGAUGCUGUGAAAGAUGGCCUCUAUUUAUAAGCUAUCGCUAGAGGAUGGGCCUGCGUCUGAUUAGCUAGUUGGUGGGGUAACGGCCUACCAAGGCGAUGAUCAGUAGCCGGUCUGAGAGGAUGCGCGGCCACGUUGGGACUGGAACACGGCCCAGCAUCCUACGAGUGGCAGCAGUGGGGAACUUUCCGGAAAAGGCGCAAGCCGGACGGAUCAAUACCGCGUGAGUGAUGGAGGAAUUGGUGCCGUGAAGAUCUUGUGUUUAUGACGAAUGUGAAGAUUUUGAACAAUGAUCUGUAAUGACGGUAGUAAACGAAUAAGCCACGGCUAACUACGUG